This 335-nucleotide long non-coding RNA is filed under the name Setaria viridis. Its description in RNAcentral is "long non-coding RNA (SVIR_LNC010016)". Lineage: Eukaryota; Viridiplantae; Streptophyta; Magnoliopsida; Poales; Poaceae. The record is from RNAcentral.
UUUAUAAGAACUAAAACAUUCUCUGUUAAAGCAGAUAUGAAACAAACAUGGCAAAUCGAGUAUCCAUUCCUCAUGACCAGCAACACAACCAGCAAAUGUGACAAGGCAAUCUCCCGAAUCAAUACUAUCAGCACCGGAGACCACAGAGGUAUUACCUUCAGUUUUAUUUUUCUGUUGAUAUGCAGCAUUCCUCUUCUCCUUAUUCUUUACCUUAUAGCAAUCCUCGAUGAAGUGGUUCGUUUUCUUGCAGUACUUGCAGAUCUUCUUAUCCCUGGACUUUGAACGUCCUCUACCAUGCUGGCUCUUGUCGCGAUUGUUGUUGUCGUAUGACUUCU